CUUAGUGGCGCAGCUAACGCACUAAGUUGACCGCCUGGGGAGUACGGCCGCAAGGUUAAAACUCAAAUGAAUUGACGGGGGCCCGCACAAGCGGUGGAGCAUGUGGUUUAAUUCGACGCAACGCGAAGAACCUUACCUGGCCUUGACAUGCAGAGAACUUUCCAGAGAUGGAUUGGUGCCUUCGGGAACUCUGACACAGGUGCUGCAUGGCCGUCGUCAGCUCGUGUCGUGAGAUGUUGGGUUAAGUCCCGUAACGAGCGCAACCCCUAUCCCUAGUUGCUAGCAGUUCGGCUGAGAACUCUAGGGAGACUGCCGGUGACAAACCGGAGGAAGGUGGGGAUGACGUCAGGUCAUCGUGGCCCUUACGGCCAGGGCUACACACGUGCUACAAUGGUGCGUACAGAGGGCUGCAAACCCGCGAGGGGGAGCUAAUCUCACAAAACGCAUCGUAGUCCGGAUCGGAGUCUGCAACUCGACUCCGUGAAGUCGGAAUCGCUAGUAAUCGCGAAUCAGAAUGUCGCGGUGAAUACGUUCCCGGGCCUUGUACACACCGCCCGUCACACCAUGGGAGUGGAUUGCACCAGAAGUGGUUAGUCUAACCUUCGGGAGGACGAU
RNAcentral lists this ribosomal RNA (615 nucleotides) under uncultured bacterium. RNAcentral describes it as "bacterial SSU rRNA". It matches the Rfam family "Bacterial small subunit ribosomal RNA", at positions 839 to 1454 of the family's 1533-position model. The record is from RNAcentral.